Molecule: ribosomal RNA, 253 nt
Filed under: uncultured bacterium
Lineage: Bacteria
Description: partial 16S ribosomal RNA
Rfam family: Bacterial small subunit ribosomal RNA
Source: RNAcentral
UACAGAGGUCUCAAGCGUUGUUCGGAUUCAUUGGGCGUAAAGGGUGCGUAGGUGGCGCGCUAAGUCAGGUGUGAAAUUUCGGAGCUUAACUCCGAAACUGCAUUCGAUACUGCCGUGCUUGAGGACUGGAGAGGAGACUGGAAUUUACGGUGUAGCGGCGAAAUGCGUAGAUAUCGUAAGGAAGACCAGUGGCGAAGGCGGGUCUCUGGACAGUUCCUGACGCUGAGGCACGAAGGUCAGGGGAGCAAACGGG